AGUGAACGCUGGCGGUAGGCCUAACACAUGCAAGUCGAACGGCAGCACAGUAAGAGCUUGCUCUUACGGGUGGCGAGUGGCGGACGGGUGAGGAAUACAUCGGAGUCUACUUUUUCGUGGGGGAUAACGUAGGGAAACUUACGCUAAUACCGCAUACGACCUACGGGUGAAAGCAGGGGAUCUUCGGACCUUGCGCGAUUGAAUGAGCCGAUGUCGGAUUAGCUAGUUGGCGGGGUAAAGGCCCGCCAAGGCGACGAUCCGUAGCUGGUCUGAGAGGAUGAUCAGCCACACUGGAACUGAGACACGGUCCAGACUCCUACGGGAGGCAGCAGUGGGGAAUAUUGGACAAUGGGCGCAAGCCUGAUCCAGCCAUACCGCGUGGGUGAAGAAGGCCUUCGGGUUGUAAAGCCCUUUUGUUGGGAAAGAAAAGCAGCAGGUUAAUACCCCGCUGUUCUGACGGUACCCAAAGAAUAAGCACCGGCUAACUUCGUG
Molecule: ribosomal RNA, 492 nt
Filed under: uncultured bacterium
Lineage: Bacteria
Description: partial 16S ribosomal RNA
Rfam family: Bacterial small subunit ribosomal RNA
Source: RNAcentral